CCCUUAGAUGUUCUGGGCUGCACGCGCGCUACACUGAUGCAUUCAACGAGUUUAUAACCUUGGUUGAAAAGCCUGGGUAAUCUUUUGAACUUUCGUCGUGAUGGGGCUAGACCCUUGCAAUUAUUGGUCUCCAACGAGGAAUUCCUAGUAAACGCAAGUCAUCAGCUUGCAUUGAUUACGUCCCUGCCCUUUGUACACACCGCCCGUCGCACCUACCGAUUGAAUGGUCCGGUGAAAUCUUCGGAUUGAGACUUUGAUUUCUUCACGGAAAACGCUGUUUUAAAAAGUUGAUUAAACCUUACCAUUUAGAGGAAGGUGAAGUCGUAACA
Molecule: ribosomal RNA, 329 nt
Filed under: uncultured eukaryote
Lineage: Eukaryota
Description: partial 18S ribosomal RNA
Rfam family: Eukaryotic small subunit ribosomal RNA
Source: RNAcentral